This 405-nucleotide ribosomal RNA is filed under the name uncultured microorganism. RNAcentral describes it as "bacterial SSU rRNA". It matches the Rfam family "Archaeal small subunit ribosomal RNA", at positions 330 to 740 of the family's 1478-position model. The record is from RNAcentral.
GCGCACCAGGCGCGAAACCUCCGCAAUACACGAAAGUGUGACGGGCCAUCCCGAGUGCCGUCCGCUGAGGACGGCUUUCCCCAGUGUACAUAGCUGGGGAAUAAGGAGAGGGCAAGCCUGGUGUCAGCCGCCGCGGUAAUACCAGCUCUCCGAGUGGUGGGGACGCUUAUUGGGCCUAAAGCAUCCGUAGCCGGCUAGGCAAGUCCUCCGUUAAAUCCAACGAUUCAAUCGUUGGGCUGCGGGGGAUACUGUCCAGCUUGGGGGCGGGAGAGGCCGACGGUAUUCCCGGGGUAGGGGCGAAAUCCUAUAAUCCCGGGAGGACCACCAGUGGCGAAGGCUGUCGGCUAGAACGCGCCCGACGGUGAGGGAUGAAAGCUGGGGGAGCGAACCGGAUUAGAUACCCGU